RNAcentral lists this ribosomal RNA (459 nucleotides) under Triticum aestivum (bread wheat). RNAcentral describes it as "partial small subunit ribosomal RNA". The record is from RNAcentral. Lineage: Eukaryota; Viridiplantae; Streptophyta; Magnoliopsida; Poales; Poaceae.
AUGCAUGCCGUGGGUUGUGUUGGGGACUCCAUCAAGUUUGUGUCCAUCACCGGCUUCCUUGAGCGUGUGGAUCUUGUGGAUGACUGCAUGGUGAGGGCCUGGCGACUCGAGGAAGAUAUGAGUUGGGAUUUAGACUACGAGCUCAAGCUAGGGAGUCUGCGUGAAGAGGGUUCUUUCAAAGGGAACCAACACCUGCCGACCUCCAUGGCACCCAUGUACCCCUUCCUCAGCAUGCAGGAAGACCGUGUCAUCUACUUUGCACUGGGUGAGUACAUCUACCAGGACCUGGAGUUCUGCUUUCCAUCCACGCCAAGCUUUUGGGUUCGGGUUGAUAUGAGCAGCAAGACUUUUAACUGCAUGCCUCUCUCUCUCACGGACGCCAGCAUUGGAUGUCUUCUUGCAAUGUCCGGCAAUGCUGAGGGCAAGCUUGCUUGGACUUCAAGCCAAGCCAACUUCUGA